CUUGACCGACCCGAGCCACAACGGCCGCCCGGCGGGACGGUCCUGGCCGUACGUGGCGAUCACCGCCUGUGCCUC
This 75-nucleotide antisense RNA is filed under the name Streptomyces sp. yr375. RNAcentral's name for it is "ASpks TB sRNA". It matches the Rfam family "ASpks TB sRNA". Lineage: Bacteria; Bacillati; Actinomycetota; Actinomycetes; Kitasatosporales; Streptomycetaceae. The record is from Rfam by way of RNAcentral.